RNAcentral lists this transfer RNA (95 nucleotides) under Bifidobacterium adolescentis. Its description in RNAcentral is "tRNA-Arg". RNAcentral also lists the same sequence under 3 other names. Lineage: Bacteria; Bacillati; Actinomycetota; Actinomycetes; Bifidobacteriales; Bifidobacteriaceae. The record is from RNAcentral.
GCCAGCUGGUUCAAUUGGGCCUUGGUUUUCGUCAUUUCCUGCGUGGCGCGGCUCAACGCCUUGACCAGCGCAUGGUUCUUGGCCAUGAGCUGGUC